This 555-nucleotide ribosomal RNA is filed under the name Triticum aestivum (bread wheat). Its description in RNAcentral is "partial small subunit ribosomal RNA". Lineage: Eukaryota; Viridiplantae; Streptophyta; Magnoliopsida; Poales; Poaceae. The record is from RNAcentral.
AUGGGGGCUAGGCAGGGAGGACCUUAUUCCAUCUUCAAGAAGCCGCCUCCGUCUCAUCUUCCUAAGCAUGGCACGAACCAAUGGGACCAAGUAUCUGCUCUGGUGUGGCUAGCUGAGUACGUGUGCUCGCAGCCCUCCUUCCUGUGUUCGAGGCACACCCUUCUCAGGGUGCCUGCUCAGAUCUACAUAGAAGAGCAGCAGCAACAACAACAACACAGCAGCAGACAGUCAAUCAGCGCUAUCAUGAAUGUUAUGGUCCUUUGCAUAAAUGAGGCAAAUGCUGAAGCACUUUUUGUUGGCAGGUGGAAAGGAUUCAUGAACCAUGAUGCCAGAAUUAUCUUACGGCUGAUUCUUAACCUUUCUUUUCCUGUUACUGUAUGUUACAGACAUUUUAAACUUAGCUAUGGAAUCUGUAGGUCUGUUGUUUGCUUGUCCUAUCAAGUUAAGAGGAAAAGGCAAAAGCUUCCGGUGUCUAAUCUCUUUCGACAUGUGCUGGCAUUCCAACGAAACAUAAGCCAGUAUCAUGGUAUUUCCAAUAGGUUGCAUUGCGUCUGA